CGGGUGCACUGAUCCGGCCGGGCCUUUCCCUCUGUGGAACCCCAUGGCCUUCACUGGCUGUGCGGGGGAAACAGGACUUUUACUGUGAAAAAAUUAGAGUGCUCCAGGCAGGCCUAUGCUCGAAUACAUUAGCAUGGAAUAAUAGAAUAGGACGCGUGGUUCUAUUUUGUUGGUUUCUAGGACCGCCGUAAUGAUUAAUAGGGACAGUCGGGGGCAUCAGUAUUCAAUUGUCAGAGGUGAAAUUCUUGGAUCUAUUGAAGACUAACUACUGCGAAAGCAUUUGCCAAGGAUGUUUUCAUUGAUAAGGAACGAAAGUUAGGGGAUCGAAGACGAUCAGAUACCGUCGUAGUCUUAACUAUAAACUAUGCCGACUAGGGAUCGGACGAUGUUAUUUCUUGACGCGUUCGGCACCUUUCGAGAAAUCAAAGUGCUUGGGCUCCAGGGGGAGUAUGGUCGCAAGGCUGAAACUUAAAGAAAUUGACGGAAGGGCACCACCAGGGGUGGAACCUGCGGCUUAAUUUGACUCAACACGGGGAAACUCACCAGGUCCAGACACAGUGAGGAUUGACAGAUUGAGAGCUCUUUCUUGAUUCUGUGGGUGGUGGUGCAUGGCCGUUCUUAGUUGGUGGAGUGAUUUGUCCGCUUAAUUGCGAUAACGAACGAGACCUUAACCUGCUAAAUAGCCCGUACUGCUCUGGCAGUUCGCCGGCUUCUUAGAGGGACUAUCGG
Molecule: ribosomal RNA, 729 nt
Filed under: uncultured eukaryote
Lineage: Eukaryota
Description: SSU rRNA
Rfam family: Eukaryotic small subunit ribosomal RNA
Source: RNAcentral